GGGGGCACCUGGGGGCUUCUCCUGGCCAGGUUGGGGACCUCCAAGGAUGGAGGACCACCACCCAACUAGGCCUAGACAUUGGCUCUACCGUAGAACAUCAAGGAGAAGAUCCCUGGUCCACUCUACUCCUCAAAACUGGCCAAACCUCCCCAAAAACCCUUCAAAUAAAUCCUGGAUGAUUUAGGAUCUUGUCCCAGAAGACCUUGGGUAGACCCAAGGAUGGAGACCCACCACCAUCCAGGUCUAAAUAUUGGGUUUAUCCUCCUAGGACAUCACGGAGAAGACCCCUGGUCCACUCUACUCCUCAAAACUGGUCAUACCUCCCCAAAAAAACCUUCAAAUGUAUCGUGGAUGAUUUAGGAUUUUCUCCCAGAAGACCUUGGGUAGACCCAAGGAUGGAGACCCACCAGCCAUUUAGAUCUAAUCAUGGUCUCUAUCCUCUUGGGAUCCCAAGGAGAAGAUCCCUGGUCCACUCUACUCCUCAAAACUGGUCAAACCUCCCCAAAAAAACUUCAAAUAAAUCCUGGAUGAUUUAGGAUCUUGUCCCAGAAGACCUUGGGUAGACCCAAGGAUGGAGACCCACCACCCAUUUGGGUCUAAACCUUGGCUCUACCCUCCUAAGACGAGGCCAGAAGAUCCCUGUUCCACUCUACUCCUCAAAACUGGUCGAACCUCCCCAAAAACUCCUCCCUCCCGUCCCACGGAGGCGGUGGCCCGUCCCAGGGAGGUGGUGGCCCACCCCAGGGAGGUGGUGGCCCAUCCCAUAGAGGUGGUGGCCCACCCCGCGGAGGUGGUGGCCCACCCCAUAGAGGUGAUGGCCCACCCCAGGGAGGCGGUGGCCCACCCCAGGGAGGCGGUGGCCCACCCCACGGAGGCGGUGGCCCAUCCCGCAGAGGUGGUGGCCCACCCCAUAGAGGUGGUGGCCCACCCCGCGGAGGCGGUGGCUCACCCCACGGAGGCGGUGGCCCACCCCACGGAGGCGGUUGCCC
Cygnus olor (mute swan) is the source of this 989-nucleotide long non-coding RNA. RefSeq lists it as uncharacterized. The record is from RefSeq and is a predicted model, not a curated record. The transcript is spliced from 3 exons. Lineage: Eukaryota; Metazoa; Chordata; Aves; Anseriformes; Anatidae.